This 135-nucleotide small RNA is filed under the name Buttiauxella sp. B2. Its description in RNAcentral is "RtT sRNA". It matches the Rfam family "RtT RNA". Rfam says of the family: This family represents a bacterial cis-regulatory element known as RtT RNA. The exact function of RtT is unknown although it is thought that it may be involved in changing the cellular response in relation to amino acid starvation. Lineage: Bacteria; Pseudomonadati; Pseudomonadota; Gammaproteobacteria; Enterobacterales; Enterobacteriaceae. The record is from RNAcentral.
UGCGUCCAGAGUUUGUAGAGGAUGAAGAAACUCCGGGGCAGGAGGUUCGAGCCGAGCGCAGCGAGACAGCGUUGUUUUAGCAACGACCCGCAGGGCGACGUCACGCAGUGACGAGUUAUCCUCUCUCGCCGACCA